AGUGAACGCUGGCGGCGUGCCUAAUACAUGCAAGUCGAACGGAGUGGCGCACGGGUGAGUAAUGUAUAGAUAAUCUGCCCUCCACCCAAGGACAACAGUUGGAAACGGCUGCUAAUACUCUUUAGUGUAGGAUGAGGCUAUAUUGUGUCAGCUAGUUGGCGAGGUAAUGGCUCACCAAGGAUAUGACGCAUAACUGGUCUGAGAGGAUGAACAGUCACACGGGAACAUAGACACGGACCAUGCUCCUACGGGGGGUGGCAGUAGGGAAGAGUGCUCAAGGGAGGAAACGCUAAAGCAGCCACGCCGCGUGGAGGAGGAGACUUUUCAGAGCGUAAACGCCUUUAGUUAGGGAAGCUGUGCCUAACGAAUAAGCACCGGCUAACUCCGUGCCAGCAGCCGCGGUGAUAC
Molecule: ribosomal RNA, 408 nt
Filed under: uncultured bacterium
Lineage: Bacteria
Description: partial 16S ribosomal RNA
Rfam family: Bacterial small subunit ribosomal RNA
Source: RNAcentral